Long non-coding RNA from Chroicocephalus ridibundus (black-headed gull), 1000 nucleotides. RefSeq lists it as uncharacterized. Lineage: Eukaryota; Metazoa; Chordata; Aves; Charadriiformes; Laridae. The record is from RefSeq and is a predicted model, not a curated record. The transcript is spliced from 3 exons.
UUAGAGGAGAGCUUUUCAUCUGGGAAGCUCAGUGACUUCCAAUUGUUGUUAAAGGAUAAAAACGUGAGCAGGCUGAAGGGGCCCUGUUUUCUCAGAUGAGACGGUACCAGUUACAUCCUUCCUCUGGGGCCAGCAGGUACCACGCUCUCAGAUCAACAUCUCUCUGCUAAGUGACAGUGUUCCAAGGGAAAUGAUUGAUGUUCGCCACAACCACCUCAUACCGUGACAUGCAGUUUCUUAUUAGUCCUGGUCAUGGCAAGAGACCCAAGCUGGGAAGAAAGCAUGAGGUAAGAUCCCUGUAGUCCCUAUAUAUAUAGACUGUAGGUGAGGCCAUAACUAAUCAAGAAGUUCUAGAAAUCACAUCCUUAAGAAUAACUGUAUUUCAUCGUUGUAGGGAGUCAGAGCCAGAGCUCUGAAAACCAGACUGAGGGAACACACAUUAACCAGUGACUUACAACGUAGUUUGAAAGGGCUGGAAAGCUGCAUUUGUAUAACCCAUGUCUAUUCAUUCAGAGCAGUACAGAAUCUAUUCAAGUAUGAAAUCUCACAACAGCUCUACAGUCUAAUCUUCUGAGACACAAGAGUUGUUGAGAGGAAAACAGGUUAGAAUUACUCAAGUUUGCUUAAAUGCUACCCUGAGGCACAAAAAUGUUUCUGAAAAAGUGUUUUCCUUAAUAACAUCUGGUUUUGAGGUAAAGACUGUUCUGAACUUAGUACCUCUUGGUGCCAGGCCGCCACAAUUUUCUCUACCUUCCUCACUUCUUCGGUAUCUUUCUUUAGCUCUUCAGCCACCUUGGUGCCCUCUGAACUAUGAAGAGCUGAUGUAAUUAAAAUAAACUGGGUUUCCUGAUGUUUUGGUUUUAAUAUAGCUGACAAACAUUUGAAAAUGGAACUUAAUUAAAAUGUAAACAAAGCAGUAUAGUCAGCUAAGAACUCAGACAUAAUUUCAUUCAUAUACAUUCAACACAAAAUUAUUGCAUCUCAAAACAUCUAGUGAUCC